AUGCAAAAAUACAGCAAAACUGCAAAUGGCUCAUUAAAACAGUUAUGGUUUACUUGAUAAUAGUUUUUACAUGGAUAACCGUGGUAAUUCUACAGCUAAUACAUGAGCAAAAUCUCAACUUUAUUAGAAGAGACGCAUUUAUUAGAUAAAAAGCCAAUGCAUGCUUUUACAGUAUGGAAAUUGGUGAUUUAUAAUAACUUAGCAAAUCGCAAAGUGAAAACAGGCGAUAAAUCAUUCAAGUUUCUGACCUAUCAGCUUUCGACGGUAUGGUAUUGGCUUACCGUGGCAGUGACGGUUAACGGGGGAUUAGGGUUCGAUUCCGGAGAGGGAGCCUGAGAAACGGCUACCACAUCUAAGGAAGGCAGCAGGCGCGCAAAUUACCCAAUUCUAACAGUUUGAGAGAGGUAGUAACAAGAAAUAACAAUACAAGGCAAUUAAAAUGCUUUGUAAUUGGAAUGAUAGAAAUUUAAACCCUUUUUAAAGUAUCAAUUGGAGGGCAAGUCUGGUGCCAGCAGCCGCGGUAAUUCCAGCUCCAAUAGCGUAUAUUAAAAUUGUUGCAGUUAAAAAGCUCGUAGUUGAAAUUCUGCUAAAAGUAACCGGUCUGCUUUUAAUAAAAGUGGUAUCUUGGUGUGUAUUUAGCAAUGAUGUCCUUUGAAGUGUUUU
RNAcentral lists this ribosomal RNA (663 nucleotides) under Hepatozoon sp. RNAcentral describes it as "SSU rRNA". It matches the Rfam family "Eukaryotic small subunit ribosomal RNA", at positions 67 to 721 of the family's 1831-position model. The record is from RNAcentral. Lineage: Eukaryota; Apicomplexa; Hepatozoidae.